UACGUAGGGGGCAAGCGUUAUCCGGAUUUACUGGGUGUAAAGGGCGUGUAGGCGGGGACGCAAGUCAGAUGUGAAAACCACGGGCUCAACCUGUGGCCUGCAUUUGAAACUGUGUUUCUUGAGUACUGGAGAGGCAGACGGAAUUCCUAGUGUAGCGGUGAAAUGCGUAGAUAUUAGGAGGAACACCAGUGGCGAAGGCGGUCUGCUGGACAGCAACUGACGCUAAGGCGCGAAAGCGUGGGGAGCAAACAGG
RNAcentral lists this ribosomal RNA (253 nucleotides) under uncultured bacterium. RNAcentral describes it as "partial 16S ribosomal RNA". It matches the Rfam family "Bacterial small subunit ribosomal RNA", at positions 524 to 776 of the family's 1533-position model. The record is from RNAcentral.